AUGAGUGGUAUAUUUUUGUUGAAUCUUGAUUGUAGUGAUACACAUAUUCAUAAUAUUAAAGCCAAAAGAUGCAAAGUUAAUAAUGAUAUUGCAACUUAUUUGUGGCACUACCGUUUAGGUCAUAUUGGUGUAAAGCGCAUGAAGAAACUCCAUGCUGAUGAGCUUUUGGAAUCACUUGAUGCUUGCGAACCAUGCCUCAUGGGCAAUAUGACUAAGACUCCGUUCUCCGGAACAAUGGAGCGAGCAACUGACUUAUUGGAAAUAAUACAUACUGAUGUAUGCGGUCCGAUGAGUGUUGAGGCUCGCGGCGAGUAUCGUUAUUUUCUGACCUUCACAGAUGAUUUAAGCAGAUAUGGGUAUAUCUACUUAAUGAAACAUAAGUCUGAAACAUUUGAAAAGUUCAAAGAAUUUCAGAGUGAAGUGGAAAAUCAUCGUAACAAGAAAAUAAAGUUUAUACGAUCUGAUCGUGGAGGUGAAUAUUUGAGUUAUGAGUUUGGUCUUCAUUUGAAACAAUAUGGAAUAGUUUCGCAACUCACGCCACCUGGAACACCACAAUGUAAUGGUGUGUCCGAACGUCGUAACCGUACUUUAUUAGAUAUGGUGCGAUCUAUGAUGUCUCUUACCGAUUUACCGCUAUCAUUUUGGGGUUAUGCUUUAGAGACGGCUGCAUUCACGUUAAAUAGGGCACCAUCUAAAUCCGUUGAGAUGACACCAUAUGAACUGUGGUUUAGCAAGAAACCUAAGCUGUCAUUUCUUAAAGUUUGGGGUUGUGAUGCUUAUGUGAAAAAACUUCAACCUGAUAAGCUUGAACCGAAAUCGGAGAAAUGUGUCUUCAUAGGAUACCCAAAGGAGAUUGUUUGGUAUACCUUCUAUCACAGAUCCGGAGGCAAGAUAUUCGUUGCUAAGAAUGGAUCCUUUCUAGAGAAGGAGUUUCUCUCGAAAGAAGUGAGUGGGAGGAAAGUAGAACUUGAUGAGGUAAUUGUACCGUCUCCCGAAUUGGAAAGUAGUUCAUCACAUAAAUCAGUUCCAGUGAUUCCUACACCAAUUAGUGAGGAAGCUAAUGAUGAUGAUCAUGAAACUUCAGAACAAGUUGCUACCGAACCUCGUAGGUCAACCAGAGUACGAUCAUGGCGAACCUAUGAACUAUGA
Molecule: ribosomal RNA, 1149 nt
Filed under: Triticum aestivum (bread wheat)
Lineage: Eukaryota; Viridiplantae; Streptophyta; Magnoliopsida; Poales; Poaceae
Description: partial small subunit ribosomal RNA
Source: RNAcentral